AAACUUGAUCUUUUGAUGAUUCAGUCAGUUUCCAAAGAUUGUUGCAUCUCUUUUGACAUGGAAUACGCCACGCCACAUGUGGGAUCUUUGUUCCCCGACCAGGGAUCGAACCUGUGCCCCCUGCAGUGGAAAUGCGGAGUCUUAACCACUGGCCUGCCAGGCAAGUCCCAAAAUAAAUCCAACUUUUAAUGUAAAAUAAGCAGAAUAAAAAUUAAGAUGGUCAAACUAGGCUGCAUAAAUUACUCAGCUUCAACUGACUACAGCAUAUUUACAUUAUAGCUAAGAAGCAGCUUCAACUUUAUCAUUAAGCAUGUGCAUAUUUUGAGCUCAUUCUAUCAUAUAAAACAUUAAACAACAACCAUCUCAACUGAG
This is a non-coding RNA of Kogia breviceps (pygmy sperm whale), 372 nucleotides long. The record is from RefSeq and is a predicted model, not a curated record. Lineage: Eukaryota; Metazoa; Chordata; Mammalia; Artiodactyla; Physeteridae.